This 889-nucleotide ribosomal RNA is filed under the name Cantharellus applanatus. RNAcentral's name for it is "partial large subunit ribosomal RNA". It matches the Rfam family "Eukaryotic large subunit ribosomal RNA", at positions 39 to 941 of the family's 3401-position model. The record is from RNAcentral. Lineage: Eukaryota; Fungi; Basidiomycota; Agaricomycetes; Cantharellales; Hydnaceae.
CAUAUCACUAAGCGGAGGAAAAGAAACUAACUAGGAUUCCCCCAGUAACUGCGAGUGAAGAGGGAAGAGCUCAUCAUUGGAAUCUGGCAGUGUUGCACUGUCCGAGUUGUAGAUGAGGAGUAGUCCGUCUGGACUGCAUGGCGUCCAAGUACAAUAGGCCGUCAGUGGGACAUCAUAGAGGGUGACAAUCCCGUCCUUGACGCCAAUGUGCAAGUCUAUUACGAUGGCUAUCUCAGAGAGUCGAGCAGUUUGGGAUUUGCUGCUUAAACAUGGGAGGUAGAUUCCUUCUAAAGCUAAAUACAGGCGAGAGACCGAUAGAGAACAAGUACCGCAAGGGAAAGAUGAAAUAGCACUCUGUGAAGGGAGUCAAAAGGCGUGAAAUUGUUGCGAGAGAAGCGAUUCAAGUCAGCGUAGCUAGGCCCAUCAAGCGUCUUCGCUUUGGACUAGCUUUGCCAGCGGUCUUGUCCCUUGAAGAGACUUGACUUGUAAUAUGUCCAGCCUGGCGUGCACAGGCAGCCCCUUCUGGGGGCCAGUGGCAUGGCUGGUGGAAUGGCUUGCAAUCGACCCGUCUUGAAACACGGACCAAGGAGUCUAACAUGUAUGCGAGUAUAAGGGUGGCAAACCCGUAUGCGCAAUGAAAGUGAUUUUCGGUGAUUGAGAAUGGCCUGAUGACCAGACAAGCAAUAUAUGUCCCUCGUACGGCCAUUGCCCAAGUUCCGUGGUAGAUCCCACGAACAUGGAGUUGGAGCAUACAUGCUAGGACCCGAAAGAUGGUGAACUAUGCCUGGACAAAGCGAAGCCAAAGGAAACUCUGGUGGAGGCUUGUAGCGAUUCUGACGUGCAAAUCGAUCGUCUGAUCUGGGUAUAGGGGCGAAAGACUAAUCGAACC